GAUGAAGAACGCAGCGAAAUGCGAUAAGUAAUGCGAAUUGCAGAAUUUCCGUGAGUCAUCGAAUCUUUGAACGCACAUUGCGCCCGCCAGUAUUCUGGCGGGCAUGCCUGUUCGAGCGUCAUUUCCACCAUCAGGCCCCCGGGCCUGUGUUGGGGACCUGCGGCUGCCCGCAGGCCCCGAAAUUCAGUGGCGGUCGCGCCGUAGCAACCGAGCGUAGUAACUAAAACGUCUCGCUCUGGCUCGCUGGGCGCGCUCCGGCCGUAAAACACCCCCCCUUUUCGCAAAGGUUGACCUCGGAUCAGGUAGGAAUACCCGCUGAACUUAAGCAUAUCAAUAAGCGGAGGA
Molecule: unclassified non-coding RNA, 345 nt
Filed under: soil metagenome
Description: partial contains 5.8S ribosomal RNA, internal transcribed spacer 2, and large subunit ribosomal RNA
Rfam family: 5.8S ribosomal RNA (bases 1-121)
Source: RNAcentral